Molecule: small RNA, 777 nt
Filed under: Pan troglodytes (chimpanzee)
Lineage: Eukaryota; Metazoa; Chordata; Mammalia; Primates; Hominidae
Description: retained intron
Source: RNAcentral
UGUGAUCGAUUGGGCUGCUUUAACCUCAGCAUCCGAGGGCAUGGGGAAUGCGUUGAAUAUGUCAAGAGCUUCAAUAUCCCUCUACUCGUGCUGGGUGGUGGUGGUUAUACUGUCCGAAAUGUUGCCCGCUGCUGGACAUAUGAGACAUCGCUGCUGGUAGAAGAGGCCAUUAGUGAGGAGCUUCCCUAUAGUGAAUACUUCGAGUACUUUGCCCCAGACUUCACACUUCAUCCAGAUGUCAGCACCCGCAUCGAGAAUCAGAACUCACGCCAGUAUCUGGACCAGAUCCGCCAGACAAUCUUUGAAAACCUGAAGAUGCUGAACCAUGCACCUAGUGUCCAGAUUCAUGACGUGCCUGCAGACCUCCUGACCUAUGACAGGACUGAUGAGGCUGAUGCAGAGGAGAGGGGUCCUGAGGAGAACUAUAGCAGGUCUGGGAGCAGGGACUUCAGCCUACUUUCAAUAGGCUUGCUGGGGAGGUUUAAAAGGGAAAAAGUAAAUGGGAAGGUAUUAGUUUAAUUGCCUCUGGCUUACCUCCUUUAGUCUGCUACAAUUUCCUCACUCUUUUCUUUGUUAUUUUUAAUGACAAAAGUAACACGUAUUUAUUGCAAAAUUUUAAAACAGCACCAAAAUAUGGUGUUGGCUUUCACACAAUCCCAGACCUAUUCCACAGGAGUAACCACUGUUAAUAGUUUUUAUUGUUUUGGAUAGACCUUUUUCUAUAGAUUGCAAAUAUACUGUUCUGUAUGUACAUAUAAACAAACACAUAUACACUCA